Molecule: ribosomal RNA, 253 nt
Filed under: uncultured bacterium
Lineage: Bacteria
Description: partial 16S ribosomal RNA
Rfam family: Bacterial small subunit ribosomal RNA
Source: RNAcentral
UACGAAGGGUGCAAGCGUUACUCGGAAUUACUGGGCGUAAAGCGUGCGUAGGCGGUUUGUUAAGUCCGCUGUGAAAGCCCCGGGCUCAACCCGGGAACUGCAUCCGAAACCAUCUCGCUAGAGUAUGGGAGAGGGAAGCGGAAUUCCUGGUGUAGAGGUGAAAUUCGUAGAUAUCAGGAGGAACACCUGCGGCGAAGGCGGCUUCCUGGCCCAUUACUGACGUUCAGGUACGAAAGCGUGGGUAGCAAACAGG